Molecule: ribosomal RNA, 708 nt
Filed under: Bacteroidetes bacterium J879
Lineage: Bacteria; Pseudomonadati; Bacteroidota
Description: bacterial SSU rRNA
Rfam family: Bacterial small subunit ribosomal RNA
Source: RNAcentral
UAACACUGCAAGUCGAGGGGUAACAGAGAAAAGCUUGCUUUUUUGCUGACGACCGGCGCACGGGUGCGUAACGCGUAUGCAAUCUACCUUUUGCUAAGGGAUAGCCCAGAGAAAUUUGGAUUAAUACCUUAUAGUAUGAUGACUUGGCAUCAAGAUAUCAUUAAAGAUUACGGCAAAAGAUGAGCAUGCGUUCUAUUAGCUAGUUGGUGUGGUAACGGCAUACCAAGGCAACGAUAGAUAGGGGUCCUGAGAGGGAGAUCCCCCACACUGGUACUGAGACACGGACCAGACUCCUACGGGAGGCAGCAGUGAGGAAUAUUGGACAAUGGAGGCAACUCUGAUCCAGCCAUGCCGCGUGCAGGAAGACUGCCCUAUGGGUUGUAAACUGCUUUUAUACAGGAAGAAAUACCUCUACGUGUAGAGAUUUGACGGUACUGUAAGAAUAAGGAUCGGCUAACUCCGUGCCAGCAGCCGCGGUAAUACGGAGGAUCCAAGCGUUAUCCGGAAUCAUUGGGUUUAAAGGGUCCGUAGGUGGAUAAUUAAGUCAGAGGUGAAAUCCUGCAGCUUAACUGUAGAAUUGCCUUUGAUACUGGUUAUCUUGAGUUAUUAUGAAGUGGUUAGAAUAUGUAGUGUAGCGGUGAAAUGCAUAGAUAUUACAUAGAAUACCAAUUGCGAAGGCAGAUCACUAAUAAUAUACUGACCUGAGGU